GCGAACGCUGGCGGCAGGCCUAACACAUGCAAGUCGAGCGCCCAGCAAUGGGAGCGGCAGACGGGAUAGUAACACGUGGGAACGUACCUUUCAGUUCGGAACAACCAAGGGAAACUUUGGCUAAUACCGAAUACGCCCGUAAGGGGAAAGAUUUAUCGCUGAAAGAUCGGCCCGCGUCUGAUUAGCUAGUUGGUGAGGUAAUGGCUCACCAAGGCGACGAUCAGUAGCUGGUCUGAGAGGAUGAUCAGCAUCACUGGGACUGAGACACGGCCCAGACUCCUACGGGAGGCAGCAGUGGGGAAUAUUGGACAAUGGGCGCAAGCCUGAUCCAGCCAUGCCGCGUGAGUGAUGAAGGCCUUAGGGUUGUAAAGCUCUUUCGUCAGGGAAGAUAAUGACGGUACCUGAAGAAGAAGCCCCGGCUAACUUCGU
RNAcentral lists this ribosomal RNA (429 nucleotides) under uncultured bacterium. Its description in RNAcentral is "bacterial SSU rRNA". It matches the Rfam family "Bacterial small subunit ribosomal RNA", at positions 29 to 506 of the family's 1533-position model. The record is from RNAcentral.